RNAcentral lists this ribosomal RNA (1197 nucleotides) under Irpex rosettiformis. RNAcentral's name for it is "eukaryotic LSU rRNA". The stretch from base 580 to 1197 matches the Rfam family "Eukaryotic large subunit ribosomal RNA", at positions 1 to 626 of the family's 3401-position model. Lineage: Eukaryota; Fungi; Basidiomycota; Agaricomycetes; Polyporales; Irpicaceae. The record is from RNAcentral.
GUAGGUGACCUGCGGAAGGAUCAUUAUCGAGUUUUGAACGGGUUGUAGCUGGCCUUUAACGAGGCAUGUGCACACCUGGCUCAUCCACUCUCAACCUCUGUGCACUUUAUGUAAGAAACGGUGUAAGCCAGCUAUUUAAUAGUUGGUAACAAGCCUUUCUUAUGUUUACUACAAACGCUUCAGUUAUAGAAUGUUUACUGUGUAUAACACAAUUAUAUACAACUUUCAGCAACGGAUCUCUUGGCUCUCGCAUCGAUGAAGAACGCAGCGAAAUGCGAUAAGUAAUGUGAAUUGCAGAAUUCAGUGAAUCAUCGAAUCUUUGAACGCACCUUGCACUCCUUGGUAUUCCGAGGAGUAUGCCUGUUUGAGUCUCAUGGAAUUCUCAACCCCUAAGUUUUGUAAUGAAGUUUAGUGGGCUUGGACUUGGAGGUUGUGUCGGCUUCUAGUCGACUCCUCUGAAAUGCAUUAGCGUGAAUCUUACGGAUCGCCUUCAGUGUGAUAAUUAUCUGCGCUGUGGUGUUGAAGUAUUUAUUAGUUCAUGCUUAUAGUCGUCUCUUACCGAGACAAUUUAUGACAAUCUGAGCUCAAAUCAGGUAGGACUACCCGCUGAACUUAAGCAUAUCAAUAAGCGGAGGAAAAGAAACUAACAAGGAUUCCCCUAGUAACUGCGAGUGAAGCGGGAAAAGCUCAAAUUUAAAAUCUGGCGGCUUUGGUCGUCCGAGUUGUAUCCUAGAGAAGUGUUUUCCGCGUUGGACCGUGUAUAAGUCUCUUGGAACAGAGCGUCAUAGAGGGUGAGAAUCCCGUCUUUGACACGGACUACCAAUGCUUUGUGAUACACUCUCAAAGAGUCGAGUUGUUUGGGAAUGCAGCUCAAAAUGGGUGGUAAAUUCCAUCUAAAGCUAAAUAUUGGCGAGAGACCGAUAGCGAACAAGUACCGUGAGGGAAAGAUGAAAAGCACUUUGGAAAGAGAGUUAAACAGUACGUGAAAUUGCUGAAAGGGAAACGAUUGAAGUCAGUCGCGUUAGCUAGAACUCAACCAGGCUUGCUUGGCGUAUUUUCUAGUUAACGGGCCAGCAUCAGUUUUGACCGCAGGAAAAAGGCCAGAGAAAUGUGGCACCUUCGGGUGUGUUAUAGUCUUUGGUCAUAUACUGCGAUUGGGACUGAGGUUCGCAGCACGCGCAAGCUGUGCUAGGAUGC